AAGGGUGCGUAACACGUGGGCAAUCUGCCGAGAAGUGGGGGAUAGCUCGCCGAAAGGCGAAUUAAUACCGCAUGUGGUUAGGGAAGACAUCUUUCCGACACCAAAGCCGGGGCAACCUGGCGCUUCUUGAUGAGCCCGCGGCCUAUCAGCUAGUUGGUGAGGUAACGGCUCACCAAGGCUAUGACGGGUAGCUGGUCUGAGAGGACGACCAGCCACACUGGAACUGAGACACGGUCCAGACACCUACGGGUGGCAGCAGUCGAGAAUUUUUCUCAAUGGGGGAAACCCUGAAGGAGCGACGCCGCGUGGAGGAUGAAGGUCUUCGGAUUGUAAGCUCCUGUCAUUAGGGAACAAUGUGCGGUUAUUAACUGUAAUCGUAUUGAUAUUACCUGAAGAGGAAGAGACGGCUAACUCUGUGCCAGCAGCCGCGGUAAUACAGAGGUCUCAAGCGUUGUUCGGAUUCAUUGGGCGUAAAGGGUGCGUAGGUGGCGCCAUAAGUCAGGUGUGAAAUCUCGGGGCUCAACCCCGAAACUGCACUUGAUACUGUGGUGCUCGAGUACUGGAGAGGAGAUUGGAAUU
Molecule: ribosomal RNA, 579 nt
Filed under: uncultured Spartobacteria bacterium
Lineage: Bacteria; Pseudomonadati; Verrucomicrobiota; Spartobacteria
Description: bacterial SSU rRNA
Rfam family: Bacterial small subunit ribosomal RNA
Source: RNAcentral